This 467-nucleotide ribosomal RNA is filed under the name uncultured bacterium. RNAcentral's name for it is "partial 16S ribosomal RNA". It matches the Rfam family "Bacterial small subunit ribosomal RNA", at positions 29 to 507 of the family's 1533-position model. The record is from RNAcentral.
ACGAACGCUGGCGGCGUGCUUAACACAUGCAAGUCGAACGGAAAGGCCCUGCUUUUGUGGGGUGCUCGAGUGGCGAACGGGUGAGUACCACGUGAGUAACCUGCCCUUGACUUUGGGAUAACUUCAGGAAACUGGGGCUAAUACCGGAUAGGAGCUCCUGCUGCAUGGUGGGGGUUGGAAAGUUUCGGCGGUUGGGGAUGGACUCGCGGCUUAUCAGCUUGUUGGUGGGGUAGUGGCUUACCAAGGCUUUGACGGGUAGCCGGCCUGAGAGGGUGACCGGCCACAUUGGGACUGAGAUACGGCCCAGACUCCUACGGGAGGCAGCAGUGGGGAAUAUUGCACAAUGGGCGGAAGCCUGAUGCAGCAACGCCGCGUGCGGGAUGACGGCCUUCGGGUUGUAAACCGCUUUCGCCUGUGACGAAGCGUGAGUGACGGUAAUGGGUAAAGAAGCACCGGCUAACUACGUG